RNAcentral lists this transfer RNA (73 nucleotides) under Paramuricea clavata. It matches the Rfam family "tRNA". From Rfam's summary of the family: Transfer RNA (tRNA) molecules are approximately 80 nucleotides in length. Their secondary structure includes four short double-helical elements and three loops (D, anti-codon, and T loops). Lineage: Eukaryota; Metazoa; Cnidaria; Anthozoa; Malacalcyonacea; Plexauridae. The record is from Rfam by way of RNAcentral.
GACCGCGUAGCUCAGUUGGAAGAGCAUUGGGCUAGUAUUCCAAAGGUCGUAGGUUCGAAUCCCAGCGUGGCCG